RNAcentral lists this ribosomal RNA (253 nucleotides) under uncultured bacterium. Its description in RNAcentral is "partial 16S ribosomal RNA". It matches the Rfam family "Bacterial small subunit ribosomal RNA", at positions 524 to 776 of the family's 1533-position model. The record is from RNAcentral.
GACGAACCGUGCAAACGUUAUUCGGAAUCACUGGGCUUAAAGGGCGCGUAGGCGGAAGGGCGCGUCGGCGUUGAAAUCCCCCGGCUCAACCGGGGAAGCGGCGUCGAAACGGCCGUUCUGGAGGGGCGUAGAGGGACUCGGAACUUCCGGUGGAGCGGUGAUAUGCGUUGAGAUCGGAAGGAACGCCCGUGGCGAAAGCGGAGUCCUGGACGCUUAAUGACGCUGAGGCGCGAAAGCCAGGGGAGCAAACGGG